RNAcentral lists this transfer RNA (65 nucleotides) under Calliteara horishanella. RNAcentral's name for it is "tRNA-His". Lineage: Eukaryota; Metazoa; Arthropoda; Insecta; Lepidoptera; Erebidae. The record is from RNAcentral.
AUUUAAAUAAUUUAAAUAAAAAUAUUGAUUUGUGGUAUCAAAGAUGUGAAUUUUCACUUUAAAUU